UAGGGAUGAUACUGGUUUCCUUCAGACACGAUGUUAGGUAUUCAGGCCAAAGAAGAGUUCCAUGUCUGCUUCAUCAAGCCAGGAAAUUCUGUUUAUCAUGACCUAAGGGUCCUUAAAAUGCCCUAAAAUGUUGUGUUGCCAUGCACUUUUUUGAACGUUUCUAUACACACACACACACACACACACACACACACACACACACACACACACACACACAACUAAAAGCCUGACACACAAUAACAUCAUCCGAGCAAACAGUUUCAUUUCGUUGCCACUGCCGUGAUUCAAUAUUUUCAGUCGUAAAUCAGAUAAUGACACGGAAGUGUCUGCUUUUCUCCAUCCAGCUGUGACUCCAAAGGAGGCGGAUUUCCUAAUGUGAUAAGUCACAUUGAUGGACAGCACUGAGCUAAACCCAGGCACACGGCGACAACAACAUAAGCGAGGUUUUAAACUCUAUUUGUUUACAAUGUCGAAAUCAAAGUUUGCCAACAGUGAUUAUCAACUGUGACUUGUAGCAGAAUACUGACAACUGUCAGUGGAUUACUUUACUGCUGAAGAAAUCUUUAAACCCAGUGGAUUCUAAGAUUUCUGUGCUUCUCCCGCCCCUGGUGACCUCCGCUGUCGCUCACUUGCAUUUACCCGUCCACUUGUCAUCGCUGUCCAGAGACAUGCAGAUAGUCUCUUUGAGGAGUGCAUAGGAGCAUAACUGAGGUAGGUGAAAAACCCUCUCUCCUCUCUGCCCGAACGGAACGAUUUAAGUGUAAUUUAUUGUCCCCAAAUGUGUCCGUGUGCAUUCACGUCUCCGUUUGGACCACGAACUGAGAACUGAUGGUGAAGCUGCUCCGACUUUCCAAGCUGGAAUUGACGUGAAGGUGGAAAGUUGUGAGUUGUGGAGUAACAUAACUACAUGCGAGGUGUACAAAAUUGAUUGGAUCACAGUUUAAACCAUUACUAUGGACUGUACCAUUAAAAUGGGUGCAAACAGGCCAAACGUGCAUUUUAUAUCGUGUUUUAAAGUUGUACCUCACCAUUAGCUGUUGAACAAUAGUUUCUCUUAUUGUAUUGUGAUAAUGUUUACAUAUUUUUAAUCUUUUUUCUUUUUUUUAGUAAUGUUGUUAAGUGUUUAUAUUUCUCCACCGCAGAACAGUUUACCCGGAAAUCAUGAAGCGGUGACCUAAGGAGGCAGGACAAAAGAUUUUUUUUUAAAUAAUGAAUGAAUGGAGUGAGAAUGAAAUGUCCUUCUUCGGAGUUUUAUACUAUAUUAUUGCUGUUUUUAUUUCUGGAGCCUUUGAAAAAGGUGAGAAAAAACUAUAUGUGAGUUAGGCUUUUUUUUUUUUUUAAUGGAAUUACCUUUUGUUUUUUAUAAGGAGAUUUCAGUUGUGGUGAUGUCAGAGGUCAUUAAGCUGAACUGAGAAUAAUGUAGUGAUACAGGUACAACC
This is a long non-coding RNA of Oreochromis aureus, 1439 nucleotides long. NCBI's taxonomy places the organism in Eukaryota, Metazoa, Chordata, Actinopteri, Cichliformes, Cichlidae. The record is from Ensembl.